This 67-nucleotide transfer RNA is filed under the name Marmota monax (woodchuck). Its description in RNAcentral is "tRNA.Ala". Lineage: Eukaryota; Metazoa; Chordata; Mammalia; Rodentia; Sciuridae. The record is from RNAcentral.
GGCUGUAGCUCAGUGGCAGAGUGUUUGCCUAGCAUGUGGGAGGCACUGGGUUUGAUUCUCAGCACCA